This is a long non-coding RNA of Xiphophorus couchianus (Monterrey platyfish), 2200 nucleotides long. RefSeq lists it as uncharacterized. NCBI's taxonomy places the organism in Eukaryota, Metazoa, Chordata, Actinopteri, Cyprinodontiformes, Poeciliidae. The record is from RefSeq and is a predicted model, not a curated record. The transcript is spliced from 2 exons.
UGAAGAUCCUCGGCUAGACGCUGUUGAGAUACUGCAAGCGACUUUAGCCUGGCAGGCGCUUUUAAAUCACCUGAGCUGAACACAGACCUGAGCUAACACCGCUGCUGGAUCUUUCGGAACCAAGAAGCGAGGAGUUUGGAGGGGCGACGAGUGGAUUUUACGCCCACGGACACCCUCACACACACGGUGGAGCGCUGUGGGAGUAGGAAGCGUUUGUGUGUGGGAGGACGGAGGUGACAGUGAUCGGUGUUGGGGAAGCUGAGAACCGCCAAUUCGAGCUAUCGUCAAGCUAACUGGCUGACACCAACCUGACCCGGUUCGGCGGAAAAACAACCAGAAACGACACCUGCUUUUUCGAAGGGUGUGACAAAAAUGCCGAGGAGGACUUCUGGUUCUGAAACCGAACCGGAUGCAUUUACAUAAUUCCCCGUGUUCAGGAACAGUCCAGGUUAGCGAGCUAGCAUCACCUGGUUCACAGUUAAUGACUUAUUAAUCAGUACAUUGUGUUUUAGCGGUUUUGUGCCUCUCUAACUGGGGGAUUUGACCCGAACGGGACGGUUCCAUUGGACUGGGAGUUCUGGGAUGAGGGCGACUCAAACCCACCAUCAUAUGAAGAGACAGCUGGAGUCUACGCAUCCUGUGUUGUUAUGGUAACCAAUCCGUAUUCUGCUGUUUUAUUACUUAUUAAUCUGUGUUUUAGUAUAUUUAUAUUACCAUGUUUACAUUUCCCCUCGCUGUCUACAUCAGUGGUGUAGAAAAUAACACAUUUGGUUUCAUUUAUAAACAACAAAUAAUCUCUGCUGCAGUUUUCAUUGAAGUUGUAAUUAGAAACGAUUUCAAAAUUGAAUUUUUCACUGACAUGACUAAUUUAGAUUUAUUUUAUUUAAAAACAGGCCAAACGCAAGAAGCAAAAGAAUUUUAUUUAUUGCAUAAUAAAUUAAAACCAGUUCAAUUUUUUCCGUGUGCAGAAUUUACUGUUUUCUCUUUUCUCUCUCUCUCUACCAAAAACUCUUCAGUCUGGUAUUUUGGUUUCAAUUAACCAUUUUUUUGGAAGGACAAUUUUAUUUAUGGAGGCUUUAAUAUUCAUUUUAUUUGUUGCUUUUGUUCUGUUUAUUUUUUGGAUAUUUAAAAAAUGUCUUCCAGGCUCAGUGUUAAAUAUAGUAAUAUAAUGGCAUUACUGUGCCAUUAAAUUACUUAAAAAUGAUCUCAAAACGACAUUAUUGUUUAUCCUAAUAAUUCUGGAACAAUUUAUCAUCCAGAAAAAAAAUAUUGUGACAGUUCUACUUAAAGAUAAUUACAUGAUAGUAAUUAAUAUUUAUGCUUACAGAGGUUGUAGUUUUUAAUCUGAGAAUAAGAAAAAUUACCGAAUUAAAACGCUUUCAAAACAUGUUACUUUUCUCAUUUUUAUUAAGUUAAAAAAGCAUUCAGUAGAAUGCUGAAAAGGUGAUUCUUCCUAGUUUUUAUACUUUAAUGAAUAUUAAAUAAAAACCAUUUUCACUAGUAUUUCAAUACCUUAUUAAUCCAAAAGAAAAACUAAAUGAUGCUGUACAUUUAAUUUUCUUUAGCAUUGUUGUAGAUGAUGAUGGCUGUAAGCAGGAAUUAUGUCCUGCAGCAGACAGUAUAACAGUUAUUAUGAAAAGGCCUCUAACUGAAGACACAGUUUGUUUAUAAGCUGAUUGAGGGGAAAAUUCAAACCUCUGAUCAGUUGAUUUACUAUCUUGACUUUAUCGAUUCUUCUGUUGUUUUGAUUUUGACACAGUUAAUUUAAUCUUUUAUUGUUUGUAAACGGGCUUUUUGUACCAAAUGCUAGAAAUUGUUCUUGUUCUGCUCUUUGUGUGUGCUGGCAGUCAACAGUCGGGUUUUUGAAAGCAACUGAUUUUUAAUGUAUUAUUUAUCUUUUGUCAACGUUUUCAGAACCAGAACUUAACAUGGAAAGUCAGGAUUUAUUAGUUCAUUUGCUGCUCGGUUCAGGAACCAGAUUCCUGAAAACCUGACGUUAAGAGUACUGUUUAAACCUUUACUAAAAGUAUUAUUUGCAUCAACUUCCUCUUACAGACAAGCUUAUUUUUGGUGCCUCUUCUCUUGCUGGCUUUUACUGCAAAUGUUUUAAUGUAUUUCAUGCCUUUUAAUGUACUUUUCCCCGGGUUUUUUUGUAAAUCACCUAAAAAAUAAACUGGCCUAAUGUUUACUGAAACCAGAA